Molecule: ribosomal RNA, 253 nt
Filed under: uncultured bacterium
Lineage: Bacteria
Description: partial 16S ribosomal RNA
Rfam family: Bacterial small subunit ribosomal RNA
Source: RNAcentral
UACAGAGGUCUCAAGCGUUGUUCGGAUUCAUUGGGCGUAAAGGGUGCGUAGGUGGCGGGGUAAGUCAGGGGUGAAAUUUCGGAGCUUAACUCCGAAACUGCAUUUGAUACUGCCUUGCUUGAGGACUGGAGAGGAGACUGGAAUUCAUGGUGUAGCAGUGAAAUGCGUAGAGAUCAUGAGGAAGACCAGUGGCGAAGGCGGGUCUCUGGACAGUUCCUGACACUGAGGCACGAAGGCUAGGGGAGCAAACGGG